CUUGGCCUACGGGGGGCAGCAGUGGGGGAUAUUGCACAAUGGGGGAAACCCUGAUGCAGCAACGCCGCGUGAGUGGCGAAGGUCUUCGGAUUGUAAAACUCUGUUCUUGGUGAAGAUAAUGACGGUAGCCAAGGAGAAAGCUCCGGCUAACUACGUGCCAGCAGCCGCGGUAAUACGUAGGAAGCGAGCGUUGUCCGGAAUUACUGGGUGUAAAGGGUGCGUAGGCGGCCUUGCAAGUCAGGCGUGAACACCAUGGGCUCAACCCGUGGCCUGCGUUUGAAACUGUGAGGCUUGA
Molecule: ribosomal RNA, 295 nt
Filed under: uncultured bacterium
Lineage: Bacteria
Description: partial 16S ribosomal RNA
Rfam family: Bacterial small subunit ribosomal RNA
Source: RNAcentral